Molecule: ribosomal RNA, 497 nt
Filed under: uncultured bacterium
Lineage: Bacteria
Description: partial 16S ribosomal RNA
Rfam family: Bacterial small subunit ribosomal RNA
Source: RNAcentral
GAUGAACGCUGGCGGCGUGCCUAAUACAUGCAAGUCGAGCGAACAGACGAGGAGCUUGCUCCUCUGACGUUAGCGGCGGACGGGUGAGUAACACGUGGAUAACCUACCUAUAAGACUGGGAUAACUUCGGGAAACCGGCGCUAAUACCGGAUAAUAUAUUGAACCGCAUGGUUCAAUAGUGAAAGACGGUUUUGCUGUCACUUAUAGAUGGAUCCGCGCCGCAUUAGCUAGUUGGUAAGGUAACGGCUUACCAAGGCAACGAUGCGUAGCCGACCUGAGAGGGUGAUAGGCCACACUGGAACUGAGACACGGUCCAGACUCCUACGGGAGGCAGCAGUAGGGAAUCUUACGCAAUGGGCGAAAGCAUGACGGAGCAACGCCGCGUGAGUGAUGAAGGUCUUCGGAUCGUAAAACUCUGUUAUUAGGGAAGAACAAAUGUGUAAGUAACUAUGCACGUCGUGACGGUACCUAAUCAGAAAGCCACGGCUAACUACGUG